CCUACGGGGGGCAGCAGUCGCGAAAACUUUGCAAUAAGCGCAAGCUUGACAGGGCUAUCCCGAGUGCCAUCCGCUGAGGAAGGCUUUUACCCAGUCUAGAACGCUGGGGGAAUAAGGAGAGGGCAAGUCUGGUGUCAGCCGCCGCGGUAAUACCAGCUCUCCGAGUGGUGUGGAUGUUUAUUGGGCCUAAAGCAUCCGUAGCUGGCUAAGUUAGUCCCCUGUUAAAUCCACCGAAUUAAUCGUUGGAUUGCGGGGGAUACUGCUUGGCUAGGGGACGAGAGAGGCAGACGGUAUUUUCGGGGUAGGGGUGAAAUCCUAUAAUCCCGGGAAGACCACCAGUGGCGAAGGCUGUCUGCUAGAACGCGCCCGACGGUGAGGGAUGAAAGCUGGGGGAGCGAACCGGAUUAGAUACCCGGGUAGUC
Molecule: ribosomal RNA, 422 nt
Filed under: uncultured bacterium
Lineage: Bacteria
Description: bacterial SSU rRNA
Rfam family: Archaeal small subunit ribosomal RNA
Source: RNAcentral